UACGAAGGGGGCUAGCGUUGCUCGGAAUCACUGGGCGUAAAGCGCACGUAGGCGGCUUCUUAAGUCAGGGGUGAAAUCCUGGAGCUCAACUCCAGAACUGCCUUUGAUACUGAGGAGCUCGAGUCCGGGAGAGGUGAGUGGAACUCCGAGUGUAGAGGUGAAAUUCGUAGAUAUUCGGAAGAACACCAGUGGCGAAGGCGGCUCACUGGCCCGAUACUGACGCUGAGGCACGAAAGCGUGGGGAGCAAACAGG
Molecule: ribosomal RNA, 253 nt
Filed under: uncultured bacterium
Lineage: Bacteria
Description: partial 16S ribosomal RNA
Rfam family: Bacterial small subunit ribosomal RNA
Source: RNAcentral